CCUACGGGAGGCAGCAGUGGGGAAUUUUGCGCAAUGGGGGAAACCCUGACGCAGCAACGCCGCGUGCGGGACGACGGCCCUCGGGUUGUAAACCGCUUUCAGUGGGGACGAUGGUGACGGUACCCACAGAAGAAGCUCCGGCUAACUACGUGCCAGCAGCCGCGGUAAUACGUAGGGAGCGAGCGUUAUCCGGAUUCAUUGGGCGUAAAGCGCGCGUAGGCGGCGCGUCAAGCGGGACCUCUAACCCCGGGGCUCAACCCCGGGCCGGGUCCCGGACUGGCGCGCUCGAGUGCGGUGGAGG
This 301-nucleotide ribosomal RNA is filed under the name uncultured bacterium. RNAcentral describes it as "bacterial SSU rRNA". It matches the Rfam family "Bacterial small subunit ribosomal RNA", at positions 338 to 657 of the family's 1533-position model. The record is from RNAcentral.